This 440-nucleotide ribosomal RNA is filed under the name uncultured bacterium. RNAcentral's name for it is "partial 16S ribosomal RNA". It matches the Rfam family "Bacterial small subunit ribosomal RNA", at positions 338 to 795 of the family's 1533-position model. The record is from RNAcentral.
CCUACGGGUGGCAGCAGUGGGGGAUAUUGCACAAUGGGGGAAACCCUGAUGCAGCGACGCCGCGUGGGUGAAGAAGCGCCUCGGCGCGUACAGCCCUGUCAGCAGGGAAGAAAAUGACGGUACCUGAAGAAGAAGCCCCGGCUAACUACGUGCCAGCAGCCGCGGUAAUACGUAGGGGGCACGCGGUAUCCGGAUUUACUGGGUGUAAAGGGGGCGUAGGCGGCGAUGCCAGCCAGGAGUGAAAGCCCGGGGCCCAACCCCGGGACUGCUCUUGAAACUGCGUGGCUAGAGUGCAGGAGGGGCAGGCGGAAUUCCUGGUGUAGCGGUGAAAUGCGUAGAUAUCAGGAGGAACACCGGUGGCGAAGGCGGCCUGCUGGACUGCAACUGACGUUGAGGCCCGAAAGCGUGGGGAGCAAACAGGAUUAGAUACCCGAGUAGUC